GCCAGGCAUGGUGGUGCGUGCCUAUAGUCCCAGCUACUCAGGAGGCUGAGGAGGGAGGAUCGCUUGAGCCCAGGAGUUCUGGGCUGUAGUGCGUUAUGCCAGUCGGGUAUCCGCACUAAGUUGGGCAUCAAUAUGGUGACCUCCUGGAAGCAGGGGACCACCAGAUUGCCUAAGGAGGGGUGAACCGGCUCAGGUCGGAAACGGACCAGGUAGAAACUCCCGUGCUGAUCGGUAGUGGGAUCGCACCUGUGAAUAGCCACUGCACUCCAGCCUGGGCAACAUAGGGAGACCCCAUCUUA
RNAcentral lists this signal recognition particle RNA (299 nucleotides) under Cebus imitator (Panamanian white-faced capuchin). RNAcentral describes it as "Metazoan signal recognition particle RNA (ENSCCAG00000009426.1)". It matches the Rfam family "Metazoan signal recognition particle RNA". From Rfam's summary of the family: The signal recognition particle (SRP) is a universally conserved ribonucleoprotein. It is involved in the co-translational targeting of proteins to membranes. The eukaryotic SRP consists of a 300-nucleotide 7S RNA and six proteins: SRPs 72, 68, 54, 19, 14, and 9. The record is from RNAcentral. Lineage: Eukaryota; Metazoa; Chordata; Mammalia; Primates; Cebidae.